Molecule: unclassified non-coding RNA, 401 nt
Filed under: soil metagenome
Description: partial contains 5.8S ribosomal RNA, internal transcribed spacer 2, and large subunit ribosomal RNA
Rfam family: 5.8S ribosomal RNA (bases 1-121)
Source: RNAcentral
GAUGAAGAACGUAGCGAAAUGCGAUAAGUAGUGUGAAUUGCAGAAUUCAGUGAAUCAUCGAAUCUUUGAACGCACCUUGCGCCCCUUGGUUAUUCCAAAGGGCAUGCCUGUUUGAGUAUCAUGAACACCUCAACUCUUGUGGUUUCCCACAAUGAGCUUGGACUGUGGAGGUUUUGUUGGCCCUGUGGUCAGCUCCUCUCAAAUGGAUCAGCUUACCGGUGUUUGGUGGCAUUACGGGUGUGAUAACUAUCUACGCUCGUGGUCGUCUCCAAAUAACCUCCAGUGAUGGAGGUUCGCUGGAGCUUAUAAAUGUCUCUCCCCAGUGAAGACAGCCUUUGAACGUUCGAUCUCAAAUCAGGUAGGACUACCCGCUGAACUUAAGCAUAUCAAUAAGCGGAGGA